RNAcentral lists this ribosomal RNA (472 nucleotides) under uncultured bacterium. RNAcentral's name for it is "SSU rRNA". It matches the Rfam family "Bacterial small subunit ribosomal RNA", at positions 26 to 518 of the family's 1533-position model. The record is from RNAcentral.
AGGACUAACGCUGGCGGCGUGCCUAACACAUGCAAGUCGAACGAGGGGUAGCAAUACCCCUAGUGGCAGACGGGUGAGUAACACGUAGUCAACCUACCUCUUAAUGGGGGAUAACUAGCCGAAAGGUUAGCUAAUACCGCAUACGAUCGUCGAGUGGCAUCACACGACGAUGAAAGGAGCAAUCCGUUGAGAGAGGGGACUGCGUCCCAUUAGUUAGUUGGUGGGGUAAUGGCCUACCAAGACUCCGAUGGGUAGCUGGCUUGAGAGAGCGACCAGCCACACUGGAACUGAGACACGGUCCAGACUCCUACGGGAGGCAGCAGUGAGGAAUUUUCCGCAAUGGGGGAAACCCUGACGGAGCGACGCCGCGUGUGGGAAGAAGGCCUUCGGGUCGUAAACCGACUGUCGAGGGGGACGAUAUUGACGGUACCCCGUGGAGGAACGCCCCGGCUAACUACGUGCCAGCAGCCGC